RNAcentral lists this ribosomal RNA (133 nucleotides) under uncultured bacterium. Its description in RNAcentral is "partial 16S ribosomal RNA". It matches the Rfam family "Bacterial small subunit ribosomal RNA", at positions 337 to 477 of the family's 1533-position model. The record is from RNAcentral.
UCCUACGGGAGGCAGCAGUGGGGAAUUUUGGACAAUGGGCGAAAGCCUGAUCCAGCAAUGCCGCGUGCAGGAUGAAGGCCCUCGGGUUGUAAACUGCUUUUGUACGGAACGAAAAGCCUGGGGCUAAUAUCCC